This 426-nucleotide ribosomal RNA is filed under the name uncultured bacterium. RNAcentral describes it as "bacterial SSU rRNA". It matches the Rfam family "Bacterial small subunit ribosomal RNA", at positions 354 to 796 of the family's 1533-position model. The record is from RNAcentral.
GUAAGGGAUAUUGCGCAAUGGGCGAAAGCCUGACGCAGCAACGCCGCGUGGAGGAAGAAGGCCUUCGGGUCGUAAACUCGUUUUGCGCCUGACGAGCAAGGACGGUAGGGCGCGAAUAAGUCACGGCUAACUACGUGCCAGCAGCCGCGGUAAAACGUAGGUGGCGAGCGUUAUCCGGAUUUACUGGGCGUAAAGGGUGUGCAGGCGGGUGCGUCAGUGGUGUAUGAAAUCUCCGGGCUUAAGUCGGAGGGGUUAUGCCAUACUGCGCAUCUUGAGGGCGAGAGAGGGGCGUGGAAUUCCGGGUGUAGUGGUGAAAUGCGUAGAGAUCCGGAGGAACCCCAGAGGCGAAGGCGGCGCCCUGGCUCGCACCUGACGCUCAGACACGACGGCAUGGGGAGCGAACGGGAUUAGAAACCCCUGUAGUCC